GUAGGUGAACCUGCGGAAGGAUCAUUAACACGUAUCCACGUAUCCAAACGAACCACCACGAACUGAUCUCCCCGAGACAACCUACCUCUUAGCUGCCUUGCUCUGUGAUUACAAUGGGUUUCACUUGAAACAGCGUCAAACCCGUUUUCUCGUGGGGCAUAUCACGUCUGGGCUGUUGCUCCCCGAUCAAAAGGGAGAGUGAAAGCGAAGUAAUUGGAUUGUCGGGCUUUACCAUUUUCAAUCUGCUUCA
RNAcentral lists this unclassified non-coding RNA (250 nucleotides) under plant metagenome. RNAcentral's name for it is "partial contains small subunit ribosomal RNA, internal transcribed spacer 1, and 5.8S ribosomal RNA". The record is from RNAcentral.